This 429-nucleotide ribosomal RNA is filed under the name uncultured prokaryote. RNAcentral describes it as "bacterial SSU rRNA". It matches the Rfam family "Bacterial small subunit ribosomal RNA", at positions 355 to 774 of the family's 1533-position model. The record is from RNAcentral.
UAAGGAAUAUUGGGCAAUGGGCGAAAGCCUGACCCAGCGACACCGCGUGGAUGAUGAAGGUCUUCGGGUUGUAAAAUCCUAACACGCGUAGAGAAGGGUACAUCAAAUAAUACAUGGUGUAAUCGGACAAAGGCGCGAGAUGAAGUCAUUGCUAACUCUGUGCCAGCAGCAGCGGUAAUACAGAGAUGGCGACCGUUGUUCGGAAUCACUGGGCUUAAAGGGCAUGUAGGCGGAGAGAAAAGUUGAAAGUGAAAGCCCAUGGCUUACCCAUGGAAUAGCUAUCAAAACUAUCUCUCUUGAGUGAGGUAGGGGGGAGUGGAACUCCUGGUGGAGCGGUGAAACGCGUUGAUAUCAGGAGGAACGCCGGAGGCGAAAGCGACUCUCUGGACCUCAACUGACGCUGAGGUGCGAAAGCUGGGGGAGCAAACG